This is a long non-coding RNA of Triticum dicoccoides, 383 nucleotides long. RefSeq lists it as uncharacterized. Lineage: Eukaryota; Viridiplantae; Streptophyta; Magnoliopsida; Poales; Poaceae. The transcript is spliced from 3 exons. The record is from RefSeq and is a predicted model, not a curated record.
GUUGUUGUUGUUGGGGGUUGUGCUUCCUCUGCUCUGGCUUCAGGUCGUGGGUCAUGCUCACAAUUGUGCUGCUGCCUGCUGGAUGGUGAGGUUGUUCGGAUAUGCGGCCACAGCGAGGGGAGCAGCCUAGCAUUGACUACUGGUUCAUGCUCUCUGUCCCCCAUUAGAGCCGCCCAUGUGUAUGUGUUGAGCAAGUUCACCACUGCAAAUUCUUGAUGAUACUACUGUAUACUGGUGCCUAGAUCAUCAAGGAUUAUAAUAGCCCUUGGAAGUGGUGCUGCACAACAACGAAGACGAGUGACCAUGGGAAAUGCAUGCAGUUCUGCAUUGAUAGAGGUUUACCCGCGAGAGUUGUCGAGUUCUCAAAAGACUGAAUUGAUAAG